CCAGCACCCCGAGUGGUCGGGACGAUUAUUGGGCCUAAAGCAUCCGUAGCCGGUUUUACAAGUCCUCCGUUAAAUCCAACUGCUUAACAGAUGGGCCGCGGAGGAUACUAUAAGACUAGGAGGCAGGAGAGGCAAGCGGUACUCAGUGGGUAGGGGUAAAAUCCGUUGAUCCAUUGAAGACCACCAGUGGUGAAGGCGGCUUGCCAGAAUGCGCUCGACGGUGAGGGAUGAAAGCUGGGGGAGCAAACCGGAUUAGAUACCCGGGUAGUCCCAGCUGUAAACGAUGCAGACUCGGUGAUGGACUAGCUUUAUGCUAGUCCAGUGCCGCAGGGAAGCCGUUAAGUCUGCCCGCCUGGGUAGUACGGUCGCAAGACUG
Molecule: ribosomal RNA, 376 nt
Filed under: uncultured organism
Description: bacterial SSU rRNA
Rfam family: Archaeal small subunit ribosomal RNA
Source: RNAcentral